This 253-nucleotide ribosomal RNA is filed under the name uncultured bacterium. RNAcentral's name for it is "partial 16S ribosomal RNA". It matches the Rfam family "Bacterial small subunit ribosomal RNA", at positions 524 to 776 of the family's 1533-position model. The record is from RNAcentral.
UACGUAGGGUGCAAGCGUUGUCCGGAAUUAUUGGGCGUAAAGAGCUCGUAGGCGGUCUGUCGCGUCGGAUGUGAAAGCCCGGGGCUUAACCCCGGGCCUGCAGUGGGUACGGGCAGACUAGAGUGCGGUAGGGGAGACUGGAAUUCCUGGUGUAGCGGUGAAAUGCGCAGAUAUCAGGAGGAACACCGGUGGCGAAGGCGGGUCUCUGGGCCGUAACUGACGCUGAGGAGCGAAAGCGUGGGGAGCGAACAGG